RNAcentral lists this long non-coding RNA (349 nucleotides) under Homo sapiens (human). RNAcentral describes it as "HSALNT0385172". Lineage: Eukaryota; Metazoa; Chordata; Mammalia; Primates; Hominidae. The record is from RNAcentral.
CACUUGGAAACUACAUACUUAUGACUUACAGAAACUUACAUAAACAAAUUAUACAAAUUAUAUGCUCAAUUUUUAGGUAUAUAGUCUUAAAUUAAGCUUAGGCGACAGAGCCAGACUGUGUCUCAAAAACAGGAAAGAAAACAAAAGAAAAUUUGGACUAUUGCCAAUUACAAAUAUUUUUAGAGAAGAUUCGAAACAAUAACUGUGGAUGAUGGAAACAAUAGUUAUGAUAAAAGUCUGAUGAAACUUCCCAGUUCACAAGGAAAUUUAAUUACUUAUGUGCGGCAUUUUAAGACAGUAAUCAGAAUCAUGACUGACAGCAUCAUAUCAGGACCACCAGACUUUUAUA